GUGGGUUUUUUUUUAAGAUUCCACAUAUAAGUGAUAUCGUAUGGUAUUUUUCUUCCAGUUUUUUCUGAAUGGCUGGAGGUGAGAGAGUUUCUGGAAAGAGCCAAGUCUAGAAGCUUUUGGCACAAGAGACCAUCGCUGUUUGUACAACAGAUACUGAGGUCUCUCCACGCUAAGCCGGCUGUGUGACAACACACAGACACGGCCUUUGUCCUCAGGGGCUCGCAGGGAGGAAGACAUCUGGAAAGAGAGUGGGAAAGCCUUCCAGCAGCUCGAGCUGCGGGCGCGUGGGACAUGGUGUCUUUGUUCCUUCCAUUGAUCUGAGGUCCAGGGCCUCAGCCGCUUUGUCCCCAGGUGGAAAGCUAUCUUCUAGACGAUAACAAUUACCUGCCUGUGAAAUAAAACAUCCACCUGCCUGAAAACAUAAUAUGUCUUUAUUUCCUAAAUUCCACACAUGCAGGACGGUUCACUGAGCCUCACUUUCUGACCCAGUUAGUGGAGCAAACAGUGUGCGGUCUUUGUCUGCUAGUGUCCUUCUGCCCCUAAUCCCUCCCACCCCAGCUGCCGAGGAUGCCAGGCCGGGCAGGAGUCGUUCAUUCAUCUCGUACCUCAGAGCCACCUAAUCACAAGCAUGGCACUACGUCUUGUCUGUCAGGGGUAGCUGUGCCCAUGGAAGCAGAGACUGUCCUGGGAGGGGACGGGGACAACCAGGGCAGAAAACUGGGUCAGGACACAGGCCAGGGGACUUUCGACCCACGCAGGAGGCAGGGCAGGGCUGACGGACACAAGGGCGCAGUGAUCGUUACCUGAAUUUCAGCACUUAGCAGCCUCCACGAGGCACCUGGCCAACACUAAGCUCUUCACCUCGCUCAGAAUUUAUCUCCCGUGUGUGUUUGCUCGGCAUGGUUGUUACACACACUGCUGGUUCCAUCUUUCUGUGUUUAUCUCACAGAUUUCACGAUUCUGAAGGAUGCUGUUUUCACGACUGUGUUGCUUUAAUCAGGCAGAGCUGGGGAAACCACAAUGACUCGGGGUUGAAAUCAGGGAGGGAGCGCAGCAUCCGCGACCUUGACGCCCGUCAGCUGCGGGACCCGCCCCCUGGACGUGGCAGGAGGGGCCGUCCCCUCCAUCUUCUCCCACACAGCUGUCGGCCGGGACGUGCUGCCCAAGAGCCCCCCCACUUAGCUCCUCUCGUCUGGCUUUUCCCACAUCAGAUUCGCCUCCCGUGUUUCUUGCUUUUAUCCGGCUUUCUCGGUUGCCUAGGAAAUCAAACAGGGCCGUUCCCAGGCUGCGUGAGGGCUGGGGGCUGCGUGUCCUCUGCGAGCUCCCAGGUGGCGGGAGGGGGGCUGCCUCUUUAUCUGACAAGAAUUCCUGCUGCAGCCGGGCAGCCUCGUUCAGAUUUUUUCCCAGGCUGCAUCACAAAAGACGGCUGGCGAGAACAAAAGUGAGAUGCUAGCCGGGCUGUACCCCUUUGUUGGGGAGCGGCCUGGCUGAACCUCAGGCGGACGCAUGCGUAAUUCGGAGCAGCUGAUCAAGUGCAUUGUGCCUCCUUCAGAGAAAGGGUGGUCCUGGUAGGAGGGGUGGAGGGAGGCAGAGGCUAGUCUCAUUAGGAACACCCAGUUGCUUUCAAUACUUGCACGAUGCAGAGCUAAAAUCUUCUCAGGCUGUGGAGAGAGGGAGAAAGUAAGAACUUAACCUCCCAGAGCAGCAAUGGAAAUGGAAGUGGAAUGUUUUUAGUUCAUGGCUCUUCCCCUCUUGAAACGGUCCUCGGUGCGUGUGAGUCAGACCGCAGUUCCCCGGGGCCUGACGCCCGCGGGGGAUGAGGCUGCCUUCCUUGCCAUCAGCACUUCUUCCCGGGUGGUGCCAGGUCACGUCACCCCGUGGGAUGCGCAGGGCCGCCUUGUCCCUGUUUCCUUUCAGUUUCCCCGUCAGCUCGCCCCGCGUCACCGACUGCAGGAAGGCAGAGCUCUGGUUGGUUUAUGGCUGGUUUUCUGUUGAUCAUCUCCAACCUCUGCCGUUCGAAGAACCAGGCGUGGUCGUGUGAAGGGCAGCAGGAGAAAGGAGACGAAAACGCCCCUGCUCUGCAAUUCUGGUGUAAUGAUGUCACGUGAAGGCAAGGCUUUUUUUUUUAAUUUCACUUCCCAGUGUUUGCACUGCUGGCACGUGGAGAUGUAAUGGACUUUGCACAUCACCUUGUCUCCUACAAUCCUGCUCACCUGCUCGAUGGCCCUGGAAGCGUCUUUGCUGGUUCCCUAGAAUUUCCUACAUACUUAGUCAUGCCAUUUGCAAAUAAAGGCAGAUUUUAUGCCAAAA
This is a non-coding RNA of Vicugna pacos (alpaca), 2310 nucleotides long. The record is from RefSeq and is a predicted model, not a curated record. Lineage: Eukaryota; Metazoa; Chordata; Mammalia; Artiodactyla; Camelidae.